GAGUUUGAUCAUGGCUCAGAUUGAACGCUGGCGGCAGGCCUAACACAUGCAAGUCGAACGGUAACAGGAAGAAGCUUGCUUCUUUGCUGACGAGUGGCGGACGGGUGAGUAAUGUCUGGGAAACUGCCUGAUGGAGGGGGAUAACUACUGGAAACGGUAGCUAAUACCGCAUAACGUCGCAAGACCAAAGAGGGGGACCUUCGGGCCUCUUGCCAUCGGAUGUGCCCAGAUGGGAUUAGCUAGUAGGUGGGGUAACGGCUCACCUAGGCGACGAUCCCUAGCUGGUCUGAGAGGAUGACCAGCCACACUGGAACUGAGACACGGUCCAGACUCCUACGGGAGGCAGCAGUGGGGAAUAUUGCACAAUGGGCGCAAGCCUGAUGCAGCCAUGCCGCGUGUAUGAAGAAGGCCU
Molecule: ribosomal RNA, 412 nt
Filed under: uncultured bacterium
Lineage: Bacteria
Description: bacterial SSU rRNA
Rfam family: Bacterial small subunit ribosomal RNA
Source: RNAcentral